This 253-nucleotide ribosomal RNA is filed under the name uncultured bacterium. Its description in RNAcentral is "partial 16S ribosomal RNA". It matches the Rfam family "Bacterial small subunit ribosomal RNA", at positions 524 to 776 of the family's 1533-position model. The record is from RNAcentral.
UACAGAGGGUGCGAGCGUUAAUCGGAAUUACUGGGCGUAAAGCGCACGUAGGUGGCUAUGUAAGUCGGGUGUGAAAUCCCCGGGCUCAACCUGGGAACUGCAUUCGAGACUGCAUGGCUGGAGUACGGAAGAGGAGGGCGGAAUUCCCGGUGUAGCGGUGAAAUGCGUAGAUAUCGGGAGGAACAUCAGUGGCGAAGGCGACUUCCUGGACCAAUACUGACACUGAGGCGCGAAAGCGUGGGGAGCAAACAGG